This 4604-nucleotide long non-coding RNA is filed under the name Homo sapiens (human). RNAcentral's name for it is "non-protein coding lnc-GINS1-8:2". The record is from RNAcentral. Lineage: Eukaryota; Metazoa; Chordata; Mammalia; Primates; Hominidae.
UGUGGUUUCUUUUUUUGCACAGAAGCAUUUUAUCUUGAUGUAAUCACCCUAACCUAUUAUUUGUUGAAGAAAUUAUCCUUUCUCCAUUGUAUAGUUUUGUCACCCUCGUCAAAGAUCAUUUGACUAUAUGCAUGUGGGUUUAUUUCUGGGUUUUCUUUCUUUCUUUCUUUUUUGAGAUGGAGUAACCAUAUCAAUGGCCAAUAUAUAUUUUUCUUUUCUCAUCUAUUCCUGACUAUGUCCUUUCUGAAUUUCUUCCAUACUUUCAACCUGCCCCACAAAAGGCAGAGCUUACUCAUAUUUCUUAUCCUGUUAUCUAAAAACUGGAUAACUGAAAAUUUCAAAAGAAUGUAAUAUGUACCUUUUGGUCAUUAUAUUUGAAAAUAUAUAUGAAGAGGUUAACUUUUUAGGGAAAAUUUAACUAUAAAAAUAAAUCUAGAGAAAUGAGAACAUUUGAAGAUACAAACAAUAGAAAAAAAUGAAACUGGUAUAAAGUUAUAGCACCUUUAAAAGCACAAGGCCCAGCUGUGUCUCAAGUAGGUCCUCUUAAACUUAAUGGAAAAGUUAAUUCCUGUGUUGUUCAAACUAUUCUUUUGGUUAAUGGGAGCAAAGGAAGCAUAUCUCUCCCUCCAUUUAUUUCUUAAAACAACUGAAAACCAAAAGAAAAAUCAACGUACAAAGAAAAAAACUCCUCCAAUUUUGUUAAAAAUAAACACCAUUAAAAAUUAUAAACCAAACUAUGAAGACUAGUUGUUAGUGCCAUAACAAUUUAACCUUUCUUCAAAAAAUGGUGAGAGUAGAUGCAGACACCUGAGCAAAUAUGGCAUGUUAAACACAUAGAGAGACUUAUUUUCCCACCUGAAACUAUAACAUGAUGGCAAAUGGCUUAUUCAAGUGAUAUAAAAAGAAAACAGCAACAGUUUUGAAAAUAGGAAGUCCAUAAAUGGCUGGUAACUCACUUAGCUUACCAAAAAGUGCAAAAUUGUAAGUAGCGGGGAAAUCUGAUUCUACAAAAUGUUCGUAAAUUGGUUGCACAGGAUACCUCUGAAAGUAGAAGUAAAGGUAGGGCUAAAACCCAGGAACACUGGUUGAAAGACUGUUUCCAAUGCCCACUCCAUCAAGCCUCGUGAAUGCCUCUAGGUUCUGCUGGUGGAAAAGUAGACAUUUGCUGUCUAGAGAGGUAGCAGGGAAUCUCAGUACUGGCAAUAUCAUCUUCAUUGGUCAUACAUAAAUUAGGGGGGCAAAAUGAACAGUAACUACUGAAAGCUAGAUCUCCCCAAUUUUCACCUCUAUCUAGAUUCAAAACAUAACAGUCUAUUAGUCUUAUACCCUCAGAGAAGACUGGAAGACUCUAGUUGGAAGAUCAUGAUCAGCCCAAAGGAAUAGACCAGUGGAUAUGUCAUGAGGGGCUUUUCUGGGAAAAGUUCUCAACCUGAUUGCCCUGUCUGGAAGCCACAGUUGACAAUUAUUACUUAAGAACCUGAAGCUUACUGUAAAUGUUUAUUGUACUGCUUUUCAACACAAACAGAUAACCAACAAUCACGAGAUUCUAGGUACAGCCAAUAACAAACACAGAAACAAAAAAAAAACAAAACACCUGAAAGUAAACAGAGUGUAUACCGUGUGGGAAAAAAGUAAUUAUUAAUUUUCUCAGAGAGGGAAGAUAAUACAACAAGAACAAGGUGUGUUAUAAAAUGGAUAUUCAAAAAAAUAGAAUUCUUAAAAAUUAAGAAAUUUAUUGCAGAAAUACAUAACUUAAUGGGAGAUUUGGAAGGUAAAGCUGACUGCAUCUCCAGAAAAGUUAGUGUAAACAGAGUUGGGAAUGAGAAAGGGAAAGUUUAAUGAAUUAAAUAAUUGGUCCUAUAGGGCCAGCAACAAAAUACAGGCAUUUGGGAAAAGAAAAAAAUACAAUGAAGUAUGAUAUAUAUAAAUAAUUUUAUGAAAUGGGUAAGAGUUAAAGUGUAUGAAUUUCAGAUUGAAUGUGUCCACCAGAAUUCAAGCCAGUGGUGAAAAUAGACCUAGACCAACACACACACACAGACACACACACACACACACACACACACACACAAAUCAGCACACUCCAGAAGAAAAAAAAAGAAGACACUUCAAAUUUCCAGAGAAGAGAAAUAAAAGUGGUCACUAGAAGAGAAGCAAAGCCUUAUAAAUUGCAAAAUAAAUUAUUUCUAAUGCAGAAUAGUAUCUCCAACCAAACUGUAAAUCAGAUAGGAGGAACCAAUAAUAAGCAUUUACAGCAUGGCAAGAUUCUAAAACUCUACAUCCAAUACAUCCUAUCUCAGGAAUUUACUGGAGAAGAGUUUCACUAAAAUGAGGAAGUAAAUGAAGAAAGGGUAGGGUAUAAAGUACAGGGAAUCUCCUGGUUUUUAGAUGUACAGUAUGUGUACACAGCAACCUGUGUAAAUUAGAGUUAUCUAGAAAAAAAAUUUUCAAAAAGAUAAAUCUGAUAAAAUGUCUAAGGCUUCUGAAUGCAUUAUGAGACUCAUUAGAAAACUGGGUUAGAGUUUGGAGUUGGUACUUUGAUACAUACAUAGAAAAAUGAACAAAACAAAAAUUUUUAAAAAUUGUCAGUUUAAGGGAAAGAAUGUUGUGUAGAAAUGAAAUUCAAUCAUUUAUGCUCCAUGUUUCACGUGUGAGUAACAUUUACCUAAUUAUAACAGUACUAGUGUUACUGGAAAAUGGGGUCCUGAUCCACACUUCAAGAGAGGGUUCUUGGGUCUCACACAGGAAAGAAUUCAAGGUGAGUCACAGAGUACAAUGAGAAGAAGACAUAGUUUAUUGAAAGCUACUGUCUUUUAGAGUAGGGCAUCCUCAGAAAGCAAGUGAAGGAAUGCACCCUCUUUGUUUUCAGUUUUUCUGUUAUAGGAGUUUUGUCUGUGUAAAGACUAAAUUGGAAACAAAAUAACAAGAAGAAGGAAUUUAUGCAUAAUCUUCAAAUCAUGAGGAGUAAAAUUUAUACAGGACCUAUCGCUUAAAGAGUUUCAUAGUGGUUACCAGUGGGCAUUUGGUGAUGUUUAUCAAUGUGAUUCUUGAAUGUAAAAAGGACUACUUAUAAGAUUUCAUAUUCUGAACUAAUGUGCAGCAUAUUAUGUUAAAUUGUUAACCAAUUUAAAAAAUUUUUGAGUUUAAAUUAGAAAUCUUAUUGUUCUAUUUAUAAAUCUAGUACAUUAAAAAUUAUUUUUAAGGGGGACUUUGAUUAAUGUUUGGUCCAUUUACAACAUAGUUAAUUAAACUCCCUUAAAGAUUUUAAACUACAUUUAUAAAUUUAAUAUGUUCAAUUAUCUUUGUGAACAUUUUAAUUAUCAAACUAACAAAUAAAGCUUUCAGAGUACUUAAACAACCCUUAUAGAGCUAAUAAAUUAAACUCACAAAAUCACGAAUCUUAAAUUAUCUUCAAUGUUAAACCACUACUAGCAACUCGGUAAAGCUGCUUAUAAUUUCAACUAAAAACAAACCCAAUAUCUAAAAUACUCUGUUACACAUUUAAAAUUGGAAUGUAAAAUGCUAAUCUAUAUUUAAAUACUAAUACAAUUAUAAAUAAAUAUCACAUCUCUAAAGUAUAAAUAUUAUAGUUUUCAUAUACUUCAUCAUCUCUAAACUUUUUUUCAAUGUUUUCCUGGGAUAAAAAAAUCAUAAAACAAUUAGAUUAUCUUAAGCAAAUGGGGUUAUCACCUCAGUGAGUUGUGGCUACUUUUUCAGGUUGUUUACCUCUCAGAGAUUUUGACUGGAAAAUGAGAUCUGGAGCUUCAGAUACUCAGGGUAAUUGUUUGUUUUUCCCUCAUUAAUAUGGGAACAAAUUCUAACGUUGUAAAAAUUAUGUUAAUAGAGAUUCCAAGCCCAUGAACUCUAAGUGAAAUGGCCAUGCAAUCCAUGUUUUCUAGAUCCAUGUUGCCUAUAUCUUUAGCCUGAUUUUAAUAUCUAACCUCCCUACUCUGAUUGUUUAAGUACUAGAUUAAAUUCAAAAAUCUAUUUACUGUAUGAUUUUUGACAGAGUUCUUUUUAUAUUCUUCAUACCUGGUGAAGUCAUAACUUUUCUAGAUAUUUAAAUGACAUACACAUGUAUUAUUUAAUCUCAUGUGUAUAUCUGAUUCUGUGGUCACAUUUUCCAAGGCCAGAUAAAUGACUGUAGCCAGACAGAUGUAGGGCUAGGUGUAAAAAGAGAUAUUCCCACAGAUUAUAUAGUUGCUGUGUAGAGAAAACUCUCUAGGCUUUUCCUCUAGUCUCACAUCACAAAGAUCAAUCAGCAACACAGAAGACUUCUGUGACCAAAUGUGUGGGUUUUUUCCUCCAUACAUACACCAAGGAGCAGACACCAGCUGAGUGUCCUCUAAUUCAGUUCUGGCACUACACUGUCUACCUGGAGAUAGUGUCAGGUCUCACAGGUCAGUCCCCAAGACUGCCCACCCUCAACCUACCAGCCACAAGUCCAGACCUCUGAACUUCUGACCUACUGGGUUCAAGUUGGGUUCUCAUGACCCCCUCUUUGGGUUUGAUUCAUUUGUUGGCGUGGCUCACAGAACUCAAGGAAACACUUACAUUUCCUGGUGUAUUAUAAAGGAUAUUGCAAAGGAUAUAGAUGAAGAGACACU